Molecule: ribosomal RNA, 328 nt
Filed under: uncultured eukaryote
Lineage: Eukaryota
Description: partial 18S ribosomal RNA
Rfam family: Eukaryotic small subunit ribosomal RNA
Source: RNAcentral
CCCUUAGAUGUCCUGGGCCGCACGCGCGUUACACUGAUGCAUUCAACGAGCUUAUAACCUUGGCCGAGAGGCCUGGGCAAUCUUGUUAACGUGCAUCGUGAUAGGGAUAGAUUAUUGAAAUUAUUAAUCUUGAACGAGGAAUUCCUAGUAAACGCAGAUCAUCAAUCUGCAUUGAUUACGUCCCUGCCCUUUGUACACACCGCCCGUCGCACCUACCAAUUGGAUGGUCCGGUGAAGCCUCGGGAUUGUGGUUCUUGCCGCUUUAUUGUGGCGUGACCGCGAGAACUUGUCUAAACCUUAUCAUCUAGAGGAAGGUGAAGUCGUAACA